RNAcentral lists this ribosomal RNA (498 nucleotides) under uncultured bacterium. RNAcentral describes it as "partial 16S ribosomal RNA". It matches the Rfam family "Bacterial small subunit ribosomal RNA", at positions 27 to 507 of the family's 1533-position model. The record is from RNAcentral.
GGAUGAACGCUGGCGGCGUGCCUACUCCAUGCAAGUCGAGCGAACAGACGAGGAGCUUGCUCCUCUGACGUUAGCGGCGGACGGGUGAGUAACACGUGGAUAACCUACCUAUAAGACUGGGAUAACUUCGGGAAACCGGAGCUAAUACCGGAUAAUAUAUUGAACCGCAUGGUUCAAUAGUGAAAGACGGUUUUGCUGUCACUUAUAGAUGGAUCCGCGCCGCAUUAGCUAGUUGGUAAGGUAACGGCUUACCAAGGCAACGAUGCGUAGCCGACCUGAGAGGGUGAUCGGCCACACUGGAACUGAGACACGGUCCAGACUCCUACGGGAGGCAGCAGUAGGGAAUCUUCCGCAAUGGGCGAAAGCCUGACGGAGCAACGCCGCGUGAAUGAUGAAGGUCUUCGGAUCGUAAAACUCUGUUAUUAGGGAAGAACAAAUGUGUAAGUAACUAUGCACGUCUUGACGGUACCUAAUCAGAAAGCCACGGCUAACUACGUG